Molecule: ribosomal RNA, 392 nt
Filed under: Anser anser (Domestic goose)
Lineage: Eukaryota; Metazoa; Chordata; Aves; Anseriformes; Anatidae
Description: partial 12S ribosomal RNA
Rfam family: Bacterial small subunit ribosomal RNA
Source: RNAcentral
CCACCUAGAGGAGCCUGUUCUGUAAUCGAUAAUCCCCGAUUAACCCAACCACCCCUUGCCAACACAGCCUACAUACCGCCGUCGCCAGCCCACCUCGAAUGAGAGCACAACAGUGGACACAAUAGCACCCCGCUAAUAAGACAGGUCAAGGUAUAGCCUAUGGAGUGGAAGAAAUGGGCUACAUUCCCUAUUCAUAGGGCACACGGAAAGAAGCGUGAAACCACUUCUGGAAGGCGGAUUUAGCAGUAAAGUGGGAUAAUAGAGCCUACUUUAAGCCGGCCCUGGGGCACGUACAUACCGCCCGUCACCCUCCUCAAAAGCCACAUCCCACAUAACUAAUACCAUAAAUACGCUGAAGAUGAGGUAAGUCGUAACAAGGUAAGUGUACCGGA